Molecule: non-coding RNA, 795 nt
Filed under: Psorophora ferox
Lineage: Eukaryota; Metazoa; Arthropoda; Insecta; Diptera; Culicidae
Source: RNAcentral
AUAUUAUUUUAUUUUGGUUAAUAUUUUUAUUAUUAUUUUAUUUUACAUGUAAAUUUUUGUGUGAAUUUGUUUUAUUUUUAAAAAAUAGAAUAGUUUAAUUUAUUCGCAGUAAUUAAUAUUAAUAAAAAAAGAAAUUUUGUAUUAGUAAUAAUAUAUAGUAUUGGUAAAAUUUGUGCCAGCUACCGCGGUUAUACAAAUAAUGCAAAUAAAAAUUUUUAGUAUUAGUUAAAUUAUUAAAUUAUUUAUUAAUAUAAAUAUAAAUUUAUUAGGUGAAAUUUUUAAAUUUAUUUAAUAUUAUUAGAAAAAAAUUAUUUAAGCUAUAAACUUUUUAUAAUAAACUAGGAUUAGAUACCCUAUUAUUGAAAAUAAAUAAUAAAAAUACUAAAGUAGUAUUAGUUAUAUUCUUAAAAUUUAAAAAAUUUGGCGGUGUUUUAGUCUAUUUAGAGGAAUCUGUCCUGUAAUUGAUAAUCCACAUUGAACCUUACUUAAAUUUGUUUAAUUUGUAUAUCGCCGUCAUCAGAAUAUGUUAUAAGAUUAAAAUUUUCUUAAAAUUUAAUUAAAUAAAAUGUCAGGUCAAGGUGCAGUUUAUGUUUAAGUAGAGAUGGAUUACAAUAAAUUUAUUUAAAUGGAUAAUUUUUUGAAAUAAAAAUUUGAAAGUGGAUUUAAUAGUAAUAUAAAAUAGAUUAUUUAUAUGAUUUUAGCUCUAAAACAUGUACAUAUCGCCCAUCGUUCUUAUUUUUAAAAUAAGAUAAGUUGUAACAUAGUAGAUGUACUGGAAAGUGUAUCUAGAAAGAC